This 253-nucleotide ribosomal RNA is filed under the name uncultured bacterium. Its description in RNAcentral is "partial 16S ribosomal RNA". It matches the Rfam family "Bacterial small subunit ribosomal RNA", at positions 524 to 776 of the family's 1533-position model. The record is from RNAcentral.
GACAGAGGUGCCGAGCGUUAGGCGGAAUCACUGGGCUUAAAGCGUGUGUAGGCGGAUCGUUAAGUGCCUUGUGAAAUCCCACGGCUCACCCGUGGAACUGCUGGGCAUACUGGCGGUCUUGAGCCACCUAGGGGCAACCGGAACAAACGGUGGAGCGGUGAAAUGCGUAGAUAUCGUUUGGAACGCCAAUGGUGAAAACAGGUUGCUGGGGGUGUGCUGACGCUGAGACACGAAAGCCAGGGGAGCAAACGGG